RNAcentral lists this ribosomal RNA (560 nucleotides) under Macrocybe titans. RNAcentral describes it as "partial large subunit ribosomal RNA". The record is from RNAcentral. Lineage: Eukaryota; Fungi; Basidiomycota; Agaricomycetes; Agaricales; Callistosporiaceae.
CCUAGUAACUGCGAGUGAAGCGGGAAGAGCUCAAAUUUAAAAUCUGACAGUCUUUGGCUGUCCGARUUGUAAUCUAKAGAAGUGCUAUCCGCRCUGGACCGUGUACAAGUCUCCUGGAAUGGAACAUCAUAGAGGGUGAGAAUCCCGUCUCUGACACGGACUUCCAGGGCUUUUGUGAUACKCUCUCAAAGAGUCGAGUUGUUUGGGAAUGCAGCUCUAAAUGGGUGGUAAAUUCCAUCUAAAGCUAAAUAUUGGCGAGAGACCGAUAGCGAACAAGUACCGUGAGGGAAAGAUGAAAAGAACUUUGGAAAGAGAGUUAAACAGUACGUGAAAUUGUUGAAAGGGAAACGCUUGAASUCAGUCRCAUUGACUAKGGAUCAACCUUGCUUCUUUGCUUGGUGUACUUCCUASUUGAUGGGCCAGCAUCAAUUUUGACCAGUGGAUAAAGGUCARSGGAAUGUGGCAUCUUCGGAUGUGUUAUAGCCUUUGAUUGUAUACAUUGGWUGGGAUUGAGGAACUCAGCAUGCCGUAAGGCCGGGUUUCGACCACGAUCAUGCUUA